AUGAUAAUCGCCCCUACCAAGGUAAAUCUUGGACUUGUCCACAACAUCAAGUUAGACCUCUCAGCUCUUUUGAUUGGAUCGACUUCUUCUGACAAUGGAUACUCACUGCGCCGUGGGUUCCAGGUCACAUAUUUGUUCGGUGAGAACUCUGAGAACAGGGUCUUCUUCCCUUUCUUCUUAAAGGUAGACCAAGCCUUAUCCCAGUCGGUUGACGAUGUGUCACCUGAAAAGUAA
This 234-nucleotide ribosomal RNA is filed under the name Triticum aestivum (bread wheat). RNAcentral's name for it is "partial small subunit ribosomal RNA". Lineage: Eukaryota; Viridiplantae; Streptophyta; Magnoliopsida; Poales; Poaceae. The record is from RNAcentral.